RNAcentral lists this ribosomal RNA (253 nucleotides) under uncultured Methylomonas sp. RNAcentral's name for it is "partial 16S ribosomal RNA". It matches the Rfam family "Bacterial small subunit ribosomal RNA", at positions 524 to 776 of the family's 1533-position model. Lineage: Bacteria; Pseudomonadati; Pseudomonadota; Gammaproteobacteria; Methylococcales; Methylococcaceae. The record is from RNAcentral.
UACGGAGGGUGCAAGCGUUAAUCGGAAUUACUGGGCGUAAAGCGUGCGUAGGCGGUUGCCUCAGUCAGAUGUGAAAGCCCUGGGCUUAACCUGGGAACUGCAUUUGAUACUGGGCGACUAGAGUUGAGUAGAGGAGAGUGGAAUUUCAGGUGUAGCGGUGAAAUGCGUAGAGAUCUGAAGGAACACCAGUGGCGAAGGCGGCUCUCUGGACUCAAACUGACGCUGAGGUACGAAAGCGUGGGUAGCAAACAGG